This 77-nucleotide small nucleolar RNA is filed under the name Olea europaea subsp. europaea. Its description in RNAcentral is "Small nucleolar RNA R12". It matches the Rfam family "Small nucleolar RNA R12". Rfam says of the family: snoR12 is a C/D box small nucleolar RNA, which acts as a methylation guide for 25S ribosomal RNA in plants. snoR12 has been alternatively named snoZ44 in Arabidopsis and snoZ131 in rice. The record is from Rfam by way of RNAcentral. Lineage: Eukaryota; Viridiplantae; Streptophyta; Magnoliopsida; Lamiales; Oleaceae.
UUGAUGAUGGUGGAGAAAAUAGACGGAUUCCCACUGUUUAAAUCCAUGAUUUCAAUAACCAGCUACUUGUGACUCUU